CGCUACGGCUAGAAGACACCGUGCUUCUUGACGGGUCGUCAACAAUUGGUUCAGCCUAUGGAUCGUUUGGUGCCUCAAAUUAUCCGCCUAAGAAGGAGGUGGCUCUAUGUGCAUCGGCUGAGAUGGGAAGAUGUUGAGCGUCGAUGGAGGUCUCAUCGCCAAAUUCUCUGCCAUAAGAUUCAUAGAUGAGUCAUGUGACCAUGUAUGGGAAAUGGUCUAGUUAUAACAAGUCAUGUCUAUAAAUAUAUGAGUGGACUAGUUCUUCUAAUUAGAGAGAGAGAGAGAGAAAGAAAAGGGUUUAAAGAAAGAGUUAGAAGUGUAAGAGAUAUGGUUUUGAAAGAUUUGAUGUCUGAAAAGAGAGGAUCUGGUCAAAGGCUCAAAGCUGAAAGUAUAGAGAGUACUGAUGGCAGAAGAAAGAUUGAAAUCUGUUUGGCAUGCUU
This is a long non-coding RNA of Arabidopsis lyrata subsp. lyrata, 440 nucleotides long. RefSeq lists it as uncharacterized. The record is from RefSeq and is a predicted model, not a curated record. Lineage: Eukaryota; Viridiplantae; Streptophyta; Magnoliopsida; Brassicales; Brassicaceae. The transcript is spliced from 2 exons.